Molecule: long non-coding RNA, 571 nt
Filed under: Danio rerio (zebrafish)
Lineage: Eukaryota; Metazoa; Chordata; Actinopteri; Cypriniformes; Danionidae
Source: RNAcentral
AUGGGAUAUCUACCACAGUGCUGUUUUAAUACACAUCUCCACUUCAACAGUGUGUUUGUGCCCACAGAAAGAAAGCAGGACAGACAGAUUUCAGUAAGACGUGUUCAUGAUGCAGUGACCAAAAAAAAAGCAAAGACAUCCAGAGUAUAGGGCAUGAGCUAGAAAGCUUUAUUUUUGUUAUAUUUUAUUAUUUUUUAUUUUGGGUUGAAGAGAUUGCUGAGGAGAGACUCGACCCGAGGAACUCUGGGUCCGCGAGGAAACGAGGAAAGGGAUUUUCGCAGCUGCUCUUCGUCGACUGUCGGUUUGGAUCCGCUCUUGUGACGGGAGACGCUGUUUGAACGGUGCACACUGCUGGAUCUCCGGUGGCCUGCCGGUGGCGCUAUCACUGAAGGCUUUUCCGCUGGCUGUGGAUGCUUCAUACCAAAUUUCAUAACCGGGUCUUUUAGCUUUGAAACAAGCAACCUGGAAAUACAGGACUACAUCAUCCAAAGCCCUUGCCGAGGGAUGCACUAACAGUGCCCAGGCACUGGAUCUGAAAGCUUUACAUUCCUCUUUACUUACCAACAAACCA